This 387-nucleotide ribosomal RNA is filed under the name Triticum aestivum (bread wheat). RNAcentral's name for it is "partial small subunit ribosomal RNA". The record is from RNAcentral. Lineage: Eukaryota; Viridiplantae; Streptophyta; Magnoliopsida; Poales; Poaceae.
AUGGACACCGAAUGGGAACUAAAAUUUCCUCUGGUAACCGUGCGAGCCCUAGAGCGUAUCGAGGCGUUAUCGGAUCAUGCACCCAUAAUUCCGGAUUCUAACUCUACGAAGCCAAACGUCCGUCGCCCUUUCAAAUUUGAAUUGGGAUGGCUGCAUCGGGAUGGAUUUGUAGACAUAAUCAAGAAUGUUUGGGAGAAGCCCGCUGUUGGUCGUACGCCUAUUCAGAGAUGGAACUUUAAAAUAAGGGCCAUGAGGAAACACCUCACUAGAUGGGCGAAAUACAUCAACGGGAUAUAUAAAAAAGAAAAACAAAGACUCUCUACAUUAUUGACGACCUCGACAAAAUUGCAGAGACGCGCACCUUAUCUCAACAAGAGAUUGAGCUAA